GGAUCCCGGGCGGGCGCGCGAGGAGCGGUGCGUCCGAGCAGCCCCUUCCUCUGAGCUAGGCCCCGGCAGCGGUCGCCGGGGCGGAAGCGGGUGCUGCCAGUGCGCCCCGGCCCGGGCCCAGAGCUCCCCGUGAGCCCAGGGAGGUGCGUCUCUGCGUGGUUGAAACAGGAGCCUCAGGAUUUCCAGUGGGAAGAGUGGAUUAUUCAUCCAUUUUAUGGAGGAACCAUGGGCUCAGAGUCAUGGGCUCAGCCUGUCCGACUGCAGCGCCUGGAACAGGGUGCCAAGGAGACAGCCCCCCGUAUGGGGCCCAUCCCCAGAGGUGUGGUCCCCAGCGCCAAGCCAACAGGUACUUCCACUAUCAGGCUUAGCUGAAGACACAUCUUCAUCCUCCAUCUGCUUUAUGCAGCGGCCUUUAAAAUCCUAUCCUUGAGACGUCAAUGCCAAGGACUGAACCAUGGGAUGUUACCUCUUCUUCCCGAGGCUCCAUGGUGGCUGGUGUGCUCAUCCAGGUCUGGGUUACUCAGAACUCUACACUUACAAGAGUAUAAGCAGAAUGUCAGGGGGGCCAAGGGUGGGGAGACAAAGGCAAGGUGUUGGGCGGGUGCUGGCUUGUCUGCUCUGGGAGCACUGACAGGCAGAGGACCACAGGCCACAAAAGCUCCAGAGACAACAGCUGUCCCAGGGAUUCGGGUUGGCCUGCCCCAGCCCACUGGGCCCAGCACCCAACUGUGGGGCCUGGACUGCAGGUGCCCGUUGGCCUCUUGAGUUGGCUAGCUGGGCUCAAACCCAGUUCUGCCAUCAUGAGACGUAGCCUAGCGAAGGUGCUUCCCCUGCUCCUGCCUCAGUUCCUCAUGGAAGUCCUCGGAAGACAGACCUGCAAAGCACCCAAUAAACACCAACUGCUGUUGCCAUCUCCGCAGAGCCUUUCCCCGGGCUGCACACUGCACCUGCACACUGCUCCCGUAACUGGCCCCUGGGGUGGCUGGGCCCAAACCACCUGCCUCGGGGGUAACUCAGGUCUGCCAGGGGUCCCUCCUUCCCUGGCAGAUGCUGCUUGCUUUCUCCUCUUUAGGGGCGACACAGAUCACAGCUCAGGACACCCAUGUGUGUUUCCCACCUGGAGGAUGAAGGUGCUUCCCGAGACCCUGCAGGCCAAGAGGUCCAGUCCCAGGUCCUGCCCAACCCACUCGGCCCCGCGGAGCAUGUCCUGCCCCAGAGGGUCUGGGAGGUGGUCUCUGGGACAGUCUGGCUCUUGCUGGUCCGCAGGGGAGGGGUUGUGCUACUCAGGCCUCCGCACGGCCAGUGGAAUGGCGAGCACGCGAGCCGUGCAGCGUGAGAUACCAGUGACCUCUUUAUUUUUGGCUGUGUCAGUGGCUGCCCAGGGCAUGUAACAGUCAGAGUGGGCACUGGGCUGCAGGCAGGCACUGACCCUUGGGUUCACGCUGACCCAGAAGGGGACAUGCGGGGAUGGGAAGUGGCCAGGGGUCCAAUUCGUACCGUGCCAAGGGCCGGGGUGGCUCAGAGGCCCCAGACACGGGUGGAUGCCCUGGGGGUGCCUGGGCUCCAGAGGAGAAUGGAGUGAUCAAUGCCCAAUAAGUAAACAGCACAGUUUCAGACCACCUAGGCCCCAGCCCUUGGGUGGGAGGCAGGGUAUGGGGCCAGGCCCUCUUCUUGACUAACAAGCCACUGGUGCUGGAAGCUGACUGUCACAGGGAUGGGAAGGGAGAGAAACCAGACCUGCCCUCUGCCAGGCCCAAGGCGCCCUCCCUACCGCUGAGUUGCUGGGGCUGAGGACCAUGUGUACCGGCCCCAAGGGGAGUCCACAGCUCUGAUGUUCGUGCACAGAGCCUCUCAGGCUGAGACAAGAAAGAGAUGGGCCUACUUCCUAGGAGCUGGUGCCUCUGAGGAACAGCGGUGUCUCAAGUCCCUGGGCCAGAUGUCAGGUUAGGGCAAGUGUGAGAGCUACACAGCCCCACCACAGCUGGCCUAGUGCCCCCCUCCCCCCAGCAGGUGACUCCUGGACGGUCCUCGGCAGGUCCUGUCCUCCUCUACUUGCCCAGGGCCCCCCGGGGCAGUAGCUCCACGUAGUUCAGGGCACUCUGUAGUGACGUCAGGCAGUAGCCCUCCUCUCCAAUCAGGUACCUGUGGAGAGGUGGGCCCAGGCAGCAUCUGUCACCUCCAGGGGAUGCAAGGAGGCCCCCAGCACUUUGGAAGGGGUGUCUGCCCUCAUGGGGCAGGACCUGGAUGCUGAGGUCCCACAGGGGUCUGUCAGGGAGGCUGGGCUAGAGGAUAGCCCACUCCCCAGGCAGAUGCUGCUCAAGGGAUGGCCCCCCCACCCAGGUCCUGUCCAAGCAGUAUGCUGAGCAAGGGGAAGUGGGAAGGGACUGGCAGAGGGGACCAUGGGCCAUGUGCGCAGGUGGACCCCCGACCUGGGAGCACGUGCUCAGUGCACCAUGCUGGCCUGACUCCAGCCGGGGGCUCCUACCCCUCAUGGAUGAACUCCUCCAGGGCUGCACACUCUGACACCAACUGGGGGAGACCGCUUCUCAGCACCACAAAGGACAAGAUGGGCAGCAGGUCGUCAGCACCGCUGUUGGGCAGAGGCACGGCUGGCCGCUCAGGACACCAGGAUUGGAGGGAAAGGAUACUGUCUCCUCCCGGGCUUUGGCGAUCACAAGGUUCUCCAUCAUCUGCCGCUGCAGAGACAGGGUCUCGGAGAGGAAGGAGAAGAUAAGGCCUACUCCUCUUCCACCACCAGCCCAGACCCUCCCGGAGACCCACUCACCAGGGAUGUCUUCUGCAUGGCCUGGCUGGGGUCCAGACGGGCCAUCCGUGCCUCGUAGGCAGCCUUCAGCUUCUGAUUCUGCAGAGAGGCCUCCUCCAGAGGUGUCAGCUCCCUGGAAAUAGUGACGAGCUGCUGUCCAGGCCCCAGGAAGCUCUGGAAUGCUCUGGUGACCUGAAGACCCUCCCUGAGUGUGCCCUGAGACC
Leptonychotes weddellii (Weddell seal) is the source of this 2988-nucleotide non-coding RNA. The record is from RefSeq and is a predicted model, not a curated record. NCBI's taxonomy places the organism in Eukaryota, Metazoa, Chordata, Mammalia, Carnivora, Phocidae.